AGUGAACGCUGGCGGUAGGCCUAACACAUGCAAGUCGAACGGCAGCACAGUAAGAGCUUGCUCUUACGGGUGGCGAGUGGCGGACGGGCGAGGAAUACAUCGGAAUCUACUUUUUCGUGGGGGAUAACGUAGGGAAACUUACGCUAAUACCGCAUACGACCUACGGGUGAAAGCAGGGGAUCUUCGGACCUUGCGCGAUUGAAUGAGCCGAUGUCGGAUUAGCUAGUUGGCGGGGUAAAGGCCCGCCAAGGCGACGAUCCGUAGCUGGCCUGAGAGGAUGAUCAGCCACACUGGAACUGAGACACGGUCCAGACUCCUACGGGAGGCAGCAGUGGGGAAUAUUGGACAAUGGGCGCAAGCCUGAUCCAGCCAUACCGCGUGGGUGAAGAAGGCCUUCGGGUUGUAAAGCCCUUUUGUUGGGAAAGAAAAGCAGCAGGUUAAUACCCCGCUGUUCUGACGGUACCCAAAGAAUAAGCACCGGCUAACUUCGU
This 491-nucleotide ribosomal RNA is filed under the name uncultured bacterium. Its description in RNAcentral is "partial 16S ribosomal RNA". It matches the Rfam family "Bacterial small subunit ribosomal RNA", at positions 29 to 506 of the family's 1533-position model. The record is from RNAcentral.